Molecule: long non-coding RNA, 832 nt
Filed under: Zostera marina
Lineage: Eukaryota; Viridiplantae; Streptophyta; Magnoliopsida; Alismatales; Zosteraceae
Description: long non-coding RNA (ZMAR_LNC005555)
Source: RNAcentral
GAAGAGGGAUCCUUUUCAAUUAAGUGUUGUUUAGUUGUUUUUAGAUGAAAGAUAAAAACUAGAGUUAACAAAGAACAACACAAGAGAUUUAUACUGGUUCACCCAAACAAGGGCUAGUCCAGUCCCGGCCAACUGCCGAAAUUCACUCGCUUAAAGGUUAUGGCAAAACCUUAGAGUAUCAAGGAAACUCUUAAGAACCUCUCUAAGCUUUAAGGCUACUUCGUUUAGGAACCAGUCUUUUACGGGUAGACUCAUACCUUAGAGUAUCAAGGGCACUCUUAAGAACCUCUAACUUUUGUGGGUAAGUUAGUACCUUAGAGUAUCAAGGAACUCUUAAAAACCUCUCUAAGCUUUAAGGCUACUUCGCUUAAGAACCAGUCUUUUACGGGUAGACUCACACCUUAGAGUAUCAAGGGCACUCUUAAGAACCUCUAACUUUUACGGGUAAGUUAGUACCUUAGAGUAUCAAGGAACUCUUAAAAACCUAGAAAUCUUUCAAGGUAGAUUCGACCUAAGAGUUUUUCCGGAAACUCUAUAAAACCAAACUAGAGCUUUAUGGUUGAGCUCGAAAACCUUCUCUCACACUUUGGUACUAUUGAGACAACCCUCUCAACCAAAGUGGACACACACAAGAGGAAAUUAGAGGAGUGGAAUAUUAAAGUAAACAACACUUCUUACUUGUAAAGAUGAACAAGAAGAUUAGAAGAAGAAGUUGGAGAGCUUUUGAAGCUUUGGAAAGCUAGGACACUUGAGCAUUUGAAAGCUUGGAAGCUUGGAAGCUUGGAGGCAAAAACGUGUGGGCAAGUGUGGAGUGAAAGCUCUUGAGUUUGCU